RNAcentral lists this ribosomal RNA (514 nucleotides) under uncultured Bacillus sp. Its description in RNAcentral is "bacterial SSU rRNA". It matches the Rfam family "Bacterial small subunit ribosomal RNA", at positions 119 to 618 of the family's 1533-position model. The record is from RNAcentral. Lineage: Bacteria; Bacillati; Bacillota; Bacilli; Caryophanales; Bacillaceae.
GGGCAACCUACCCUAUAGUUUGGGAUAACUCCGGGAAACCGGGGCUAAUACCGAAUAAUUUAUUUGACCUCAUGGUGAAAUACUGAAAGACGGUUUCGGCUGUCGCUAUAGGAUGGGCCCGCGGCGCAUUAGCUAGUAGGUGAGGUAAUGGCUCACCAAGGCGACGAUGCGUAGCCGACCUGAGAGGGUGAUCGGCCACACUGGGACUGAGACACGGCCCAGACUCCUACGGGAGGCAGCAGUAGGGAAUCUUCCGCAAUGGACGAAAGUCUGACGGAGCAACGCCGCGUGAGUGAUGAAGGUUUUCGGAUCGUAAAGCUCUGUUGUCAGGGAAGAACAAGUACCGUUCGAAUAGGGCGGUACCUUGACGGUACCUAACCAGAAAGCCACGGCUAACUACGUGCCAGCAGCCGCGGUAAUACGUAGGUGGCAAGCGUUGUCCGGAAUUAUUGGGCGUAACGGGCUCGCAGGCGGUUUCUUAAGUCUGAUGUGAAAGCCCCCGGCUCAGCCGGGA